This 254-nucleotide ribosomal RNA is filed under the name uncultured bacterium. Its description in RNAcentral is "partial 16S ribosomal RNA". It matches the Rfam family "Bacterial small subunit ribosomal RNA", at positions 524 to 776 of the family's 1533-position model. The record is from RNAcentral.
UACGUAGGGUGCGAGCGUUGUCCGGAAUUAUUGGGCGUAAAGAGCUCGUAGGCGGUCUGUCGCGUCGAUCGUGAAAACUUGGGGCUUAACCCUGAGCUUGCGGUCGAUACGGGCAUGACUGGAGUUCGGCAGGGGAGACUGGAAUUCCUGGUGUAGCGGUGAAAUGCGCAGAUAUCAGGAGGAACACCGGCGGCGAAGGCGGGUCUCUGGGCCGAUACUGACGCUGAGGAGCGAAAGCGUGGGGAGCGAACAGG